AUACUUCCCUGGCAGAGGAGACAGCACGAUCACAAAGGUGGUUUACCCAGGGCGAGGCUCAUCCAUUGCACUCGGCAUGUGCUGACUCCUGUUGCUUCCCCAAAUGUGGGAAACUCGACAGCAUAAUUUGUGGUGGUGGGAGACUGCAUUUGUGCUUUUCCCUG
Otolemur garnettii (small-eared galago) is the source of this 164-nucleotide small nuclear RNA. Its record names the gene U1. It matches the Rfam family "U1 spliceosomal RNA". From Rfam's summary of the family: U1 is a small nuclear RNA (snRNA) component of the spliceosome (involved in pre-mRNA splicing). Its 5' end forms complementary base pairs with the 5' splice junction, thus defining the 5' donor site of an intron. The record is from Ensembl. NCBI's taxonomy places the organism in Eukaryota, Metazoa, Chordata, Mammalia, Primates, Galagidae.